Molecule: non-coding RNA, 161 nt
Organism: Meleagris gallopavo (turkey)
Lineage: Eukaryota; Metazoa; Chordata; Aves; Galliformes; Phasianidae
Source: RefSeq, a predicted model, not a curated record
AGCACAGCCUGGGCCUGCCGCAGCGCGGAGCUCCAAGCGAAGAGCAAGAAGACAGCGACGAAAAGAGAGGGGCAUGGAACUGAAGAAGGCCUCUCUGAGAGCUGCUGCUGCACGUGCAGAGUCCUCCGCAAUGAGCAGCCUUGUGGAGAUGAUGCAGGAGC